GACGAACGCUGGCGGCGUGCCUAAUACAUGCAAGUCGAACGCACAGUUUAUACCGUAGCUUGCUACACCAUAAACUGUGAGUUGCGAACGGGUGAGUAACGCGUAGGUAACCUGCCUGGUAGCGGGGGAUAACUAUUGGAAACGAUAGCUAAUACCGCAUAAUAUUGAUUAUUGCAUGAUAAUUGAUUGAAAGAUGCUAUUGCAUCACUACCAGAUGGACCUGCGUUGUAUUAGCUAGUAGGUGAGGUAACGGCUCACCUAGGCGACGAUACAUAGCCGACCUGAGAGGGUGAUCGGCCACACUGGGACUGAGACACGGCCCAGACUCCUACGGGAGGCAGCAGUAGGGAAUCUUCGGCAAUGGACGAAAGUCUGACCGAGCAACGCCGCGUGAGUGAAGAAGGUUGUCGGAUCGUAAAGCUCGGUUGUAAGAGAAGAACGGGUGUGAGAGUGGAAAGUUUACACUGUGACGGUAGCUUACCAGAAAGGGACGGCUAACUACGUG
This 505-nucleotide ribosomal RNA is filed under the name uncultured bacterium. RNAcentral's name for it is "partial 16S ribosomal RNA". It matches the Rfam family "Bacterial small subunit ribosomal RNA", at positions 28 to 507 of the family's 1533-position model. The record is from RNAcentral.